Carassius gibelio (silver crucian carp) is the source of this 1074-nucleotide long non-coding RNA. RefSeq lists it as uncharacterized. The transcript has 5 exons. The record is from RefSeq and is a predicted model, not a curated record. NCBI's taxonomy places the organism in Eukaryota, Metazoa, Chordata, Actinopteri, Cypriniformes, Cyprinidae.
UUUGAUUUCAGAUAUGGGAAAAGCACUUAAGAUGAGCACACGUUUCAGGAACGUUAAAAUUAAGUUGGUGAGGAGGUCUAUCGCUGGCCAUGCGAAGUUUUCUUACCUCAGUCAAGGUCUUCCCCAGCCCAGCUACAAACAGACCCACCCUUCAGACCCUUCUAUUACAUCUCAACCUGCUGAACCUGAUGAUGUGACACCGAGCUGUUCUGAGAGCGCAUACAGUAAGGCAAAGAAGAGAGAGCUUCAUGCCUGGGAUGCAGUCAAGGAUGAGAUGCAUAAGGUGUCGUUUGAAUGUUCAGCACCGAUCACUACCCAGUGUGCUGUCUGCCGAGAACAUGCUGAUUAUAGGUGCAUUGAGUGCAGCUCCACUGCAGUGUUCUGUGAGGUUUGCCUGAAGAGGAUUCAGAUCUUCCUGAAAAGUGAAACAGUGUUUACUAUGAGCCAUCGUCCCUGGGAUUUUUCCUAUAUUUACCUGAAGCCCAUGGCACCCAUGCUGUGUACACAAAGGACAUGAAGAUCAUUGUCAGCACAGGAUGGCUCUGCACCGUUACAGUCAAAAUGUGUGCGUGUGAACCAGAAACCUGUACUCUGCUGAGAUAUGGGCUCUGACCAGCAACAGCCACAAGCCCCAGACAGACAGCCUUCUCCAUCCCUCUGCUAGAGCUUUCUGUUUCUCUGGCACUGGAGUGUCUGGUUUCUGUUGAGGGUUUUUGCAACACCCCAUAUCCCAUUUUAGGCAUCACCACUUCCGACAAAGAAGUUUGGUUGAUAUUUGCCCACAAUUAAAUGAUGGAACCAUUUUCCCAGCAUGUCCAAAGGCGGAUGGAGAAAUGAUUGUCACAUUGGAUGCAAACUUUGGCCUUGUGAGGAAUCAAAGCUCUGGUACAAGUGCGGUUGAUCCAUUACACGGAACCCGCGUGUUUAGAGGAAUACCUGCUAUCACAUCUUGACAGCUCAAAGCCUCAAGAGGACUGCAGUAAGCUGCUCUCAUUCAAGGUCUCCAACAGCUGGAAAGAAAAUGACAUCAAGCCACUGUGAUGUUUCACCCACAUGUACCAGACAUUAUAGACA